GCCUGGGUGGCUCAGUCAGUGGAGCAUGCAACUCCUGAUUUUGGGAUUGUGAGUUUGAGUCCCACCUUGGGUG
This 73-nucleotide transfer RNA is filed under the name Mustela putorius furo (domestic ferret). It matches the Rfam family "tRNA". From Rfam's summary of the family: Transfer RNA (tRNA) molecules are approximately 80 nucleotides in length. Their secondary structure includes four short double-helical elements and three loops (D, anti-codon, and T loops). Lineage: Eukaryota; Metazoa; Chordata; Mammalia; Carnivora; Mustelidae. The record is from Rfam by way of RNAcentral.